CUGAGAGAGAAGAGACAUCAGCUGAUGAAGAGCUGGUUUUCUGUCAGUCAGCAGCAGGCAGCUACAGUCCUGCAGAAGAGAGAGAGUGAGGGGCGGGCAGAGUGAGGGGCUGUGUGCAUACUCACACACUGAGGAGGAGAAAAGCAGAAGUCACAGCGAAGUAGGGGAAGCUCUUCAGUCAGUUAAAUCAGAUCGCCUUGACUCGCUCUCCUUCAGAAAUGAAUGAAACAGGAUCCAAAUGGAGUAUUUCUAGGGCAAAGUGACCAUUGUAAUGUUCCACUUGAGUGUUUGUUUGGGUUAUUCUUCUUUCAUUUGCUUGGUUGGACCAAUGCAGGGUCGCACAACAAGGAAGUGUCUGAGGCUGAAUUUGAACUCAUAUCUUACUGACUCCAAGUUGAAUGCUCAUAACCACAGAGCCACAGAAUUGCCUAUAUCUCCUUUGUUGAAGUCCCUCCCUUCCUUCAAGAAUCACCUCAGAUGUUCCCUCCUCCCUAAAGCCUCCCCUGAAUACUCCAAAGUAUCUAUCUCUCCAGUUACUUAUCACACUUCUUUAACUCUGGCUCAGCAUCAUAUUUAAGCCAGUUUAUCUGUCAAGUUUUUACCCUGUUCCAAGACUAGGGAGACAUAGAAAGGCAAAAGUACAAUCCUUGCCAUCAAGAAACUUACAUUCUAUGGGGGGAUAUAAUAGGCUAUGUGAAUCAUUGUAUUGUGUUUAGUAGCAAAGUCUAUCACAUUUGAUUGUUCUGUAAUAUUGCAGCCACUGUGUAUUAUGACUUUGCUACUAAAAGCAAUGCAAUGAUCCAGGACAAUUCUGAGGGACUUAUGAAAAAGAAUGCUGUCCACAUCCAGAGAAAGAAUUAUUGGAGUAGAAAUGCAGGUGAAAACAUGUGAUUUUUCACUUGUUUAUUUGGGUUUAUGUCUUGGGGUUUUGGUUUUAUAAGAUUAGUCACUUACAAAAAUGAAUAAUAUGGAAAUAGGUUUUAUGUGAUAAUAAAUGUAUAACUGAGAUUGAAUUGUUUGUCA
RNAcentral lists this long non-coding RNA (1023 nucleotides) under Monodelphis domestica (gray short-tailed opossum). Its description in RNAcentral is "lncRNA (ENSMODG00000050603.1)". The record is from RNAcentral. Lineage: Eukaryota; Metazoa; Chordata; Mammalia; Didelphimorphia; Didelphidae.